AUAAAGGCGAAGAAGGAGAAGAGUAAGCUUAAGUUAUGAUUUCAGCGAACUCGGGAUGGUGUGAGCCGAGGAUGAAUGCUAGGCUGAAAAUCCCUCUGGAGCUGCAACCUGAACCUGGCUUUUGACAGCAGUAAGGAAGACGGUUUCACCUUCCGUUAGAAGAGGUGGGAGUAUAAACCAAAUUGGCCGUACUCCAUAAAGAGCCUGAGAUAUCAGGAAUCAGGGUGGUACCGCGAGAACGGAUUUAACUCUCGUCCCUGAU
Molecule: non-coding RNA, 262 nt
Filed under: Chloroflexota bacterium
Lineage: Bacteria; Bacillati; Chloroflexota
Description: Chloroflexi bacterium T-box sequence
Rfam family: T-box leader
About the family: Uncharged tRNA acts as the effector for transcription antitermination of genes in the T-box leader family. T-boxes are found upstream of many aminoacyl-tRNA synthetase genes and some amino acid biosynthetic genes usually in Gram-positive bacteria.
Source: RNAcentral